This 253-nucleotide ribosomal RNA is filed under the name uncultured bacterium. RNAcentral's name for it is "partial 16S ribosomal RNA". It matches the Rfam family "Bacterial small subunit ribosomal RNA", at positions 524 to 776 of the family's 1533-position model. The record is from RNAcentral.
GACGUAGGGGGCAAGCGUUGUCCGGAUUCAUUGGGCGUAAAGCGCGUGUAGGCGGCCAGGUAGGUCGGAUGUGAAAUCUGGAGGCUCAACCUCCAGCUGUCAUCCGAAACCAUCUGGCUAGAGUCCGGAAGAGGAGAGUGGAAUUCCAGGUGUAGCGGUGAAAUGCGUAGAUAUCUGGAGGAACACCGGUGGCGAAGGCGGCGUUCUGGACUGCAACUGACACUGAGGAACGAAAGCCAGGGGAGCGAACGGG